This 440-nucleotide ribosomal RNA is filed under the name uncultured bacterium. RNAcentral's name for it is "partial 16S ribosomal RNA". It matches the Rfam family "Bacterial small subunit ribosomal RNA", at positions 338 to 795 of the family's 1533-position model. The record is from RNAcentral.
CCUACGGGUGGCAGCAGUAGGGAAUAUUGCUCAAUGGGGGAAACCCUGAAGCAGCAACGCCGCGUGGAGGAUGACGGUUUUCGGAUUGUAAACUCCUUUUGUUAGAGAAGAUAAUUACGGUAUCUAACGAAUAAUCACCGGCCAACUCCGUUCCAGCAGCCGCGGUAAUACGGAGGGUGCAAGCGUUAUCCGGAAUCACUGGGCGUAAAGCGCGCGUAGACGGGAUAGCAAGUCAGAUGUGAAAUCCUAUGGCUUAACCAUAGAACUGCAUUUGAAACUGUUAUUCUAGAGUAUGGGAGAGGUAGGUGGAAUUCUUGGUGUAGGGGUAAAAUCCGUAGAGAUCAAGAAGAAUACUCAUUGCGAAGGCGACCUGCUAGAACGUAACUGACGCUGAUGCGCGAAAGCGUGGGGAGCAAACAGGAUUAGAUACCCGUGUAGUC